CCUAGUAACGGCGAGUGAAGCGGCAAUAGCUCAAAUUUGAAAUCUGGCGUCUUCGGCGUCCGAGUUGUAAUUUGUAGAGGAUGCUUCUGGGCAGCCACCGGUCUAAGUUCCUUGGAACAGGACGUCAUAGAGGGUGAGAAUCCCGUAUGCGACCGGAAGGGCACCCUCCACGUAGCUCCUUCGACGAGUCGAGUUGUUUGGGAAUGCAGCUCUAAAUGGGAGGUAAAUUUCUUCUAAAGCUAAAUACUGGCCAGAGACCGAUAGCGCACAAGUAGAGUGAUCGAAAGAUGAAAAGCACUUUGGAAAGAGAGUUAAAAAGCACGUGAAAUUGUUGAAAGGGAAGCGUUUGCAACCAGACUUGCUCGCGGUGUUCCGCCGGUCUUCUGACCGGUUCACUCGCCGCGUUGCAGGCCAGCAUCGUCUGGGGCCGCCGGAUAAGACCUUGGUAAUGUAGCUCCCCCUCGGGGGAGUGUUAUAGACCAUGUUGAUGCGGCGCGUCCCGGGCGAGGUCCGCGCUUCGGCUAGGAUGCUGGCGUAAUGGUUGUAAACGGCCCGUCUUGAAACACGGACCAAGGAGUCUAACAUCUAUGCGAGUGUUCGGGUGUCAAACCCCUACGCGUAAUGAAAGUGAACGGAGGUGGGAACUUUAUUGUGCACCAUCGACCGAUCCUGAUGUCUUCGGAUGGAUUUGAGUAAGAGCAUAGCUGUUGGGACCCGAAAGAUGGUGAACUAUGCCUGAAUAGGGUGAAGCCAGAGGAAACUCUGGUGGAGGCUCGCAGCGGUUCUGACGUGCAAAUCGAUCGUCAAAUUUGGGUAUAGG
Molecule: ribosomal RNA, 820 nt
Filed under: Rachicladosporium alpinum
Lineage: Eukaryota; Fungi; Ascomycota; Dothideomycetes; Cladosporiales; Cladosporiaceae
Description: LSU rRNA
Rfam family: Eukaryotic large subunit ribosomal RNA
Source: RNAcentral